CUUAGUUUUUUCAAUUCCUUCUUGCUUUCUUGUAUAUACAAAAGGGAAAAGUGUUGUAUUGUAUAUAAAAGAAAAGUUUGUCGUUCUGCCGAAGCUGCUCUGUUUAUACUGGUGUUAUCAGGGCCAAAUAGUUUGCAUACAGGUUGAAUUUUCACUAUUGGAUGACAUUCAAUAGUUCUAUAUGUUAGCACAAAGGAGAUUUUAUUGUGCAACUUGCCGUCCUUCCACAAAUCAUAUUCCAAGAUAUAACAAUGACUAAGAUGUCAAUUUGAAAUUACCAUUACAGACAACAGUGGUUCGACAACAACGCUAAUCACAGAUCAACCUGCUGAAACAAUGUUACAUUUCACUUCAGAAAAAGUUCACGACAUUCGUUCCACUAAGUAUAUAUUACGCCUAAUUAAAAUAAAAUACAAAAUAAAUACCUAUUGUUAACUAAUUUUUUCUUAUCCAUAAAAACGAAACAAAUGUUGCCUCUUCCAAAUAUGACAAAACAAUUAACUGGAAAGACAAUCACCAUUCAAGUCAAAAGGUCAUUUGCUAAAACUACUGGAAAAUUAAUUGUCUCAAUAUGCGGAAAAAGAGAACAUCAUCAGCGCACCACCGUCACCUGCUCCAAUGGACACAACAGGAAGCAGCAAAAGAAAGAUCGAAAAUCCUGUCACAAACAAAAAAGACAAACAAGAGGCCACUUCCCAUCACAAGCACGUUCUGAAGGUGAAAAUUGUCCCUCCAAAACACUAUAGUAAGUGAAAAGCCAUAUCGCCUACAUUUUGCAAUAUGAUUGGAGCCAUUUUUUGUCACUACAACAAGCAUAUGGACAAAGUUACUUUUCCCGUUCACUUCCAGGCGAUGCCAAUCACUAAAAUAUUGUCUUACAAUCUCGCUCACAGCAAGAGAAACAACACUUUGGCUGAUCUCCAACAUAAUGCACCACUUUCCUUUUGAUUAUGUAAAUAAAAUGUACAU
This is a long non-coding RNA of Solanum tuberosum (potato), 969 nucleotides long. RefSeq lists it as uncharacterized. The record is from RefSeq and is a predicted model, not a curated record. Lineage: Eukaryota; Viridiplantae; Streptophyta; Magnoliopsida; Solanales; Solanaceae. The transcript is spliced from 4 exons.